Molecule: transfer RNA, 72 nt
Filed under: Camelus bactrianus (Bactrian camel)
Lineage: Eukaryota; Metazoa; Chordata; Mammalia; Artiodactyla; Camelidae
Also listed under: 2 other names
Rfam family: tRNA
About the family: Transfer RNA (tRNA) molecules are approximately 80 nucleotides in length. Their secondary structure includes four short double-helical elements and three loops (D, anti-codon, and T loops). Further hydrogen bonds mediate the characteristic L-shaped molecular structure. tRNAs have two regions of fundamental functional importance: the anti-codon, which is responsible for specific mRNA codon recognition, and the 3' end, to which the tRNAs corresponding amino acid is attached (by aminoacyl-tRNA synthetases). tRNAs cope with the degeneracy of the genetic code in two manners: having more than one tRNA (with a specific anti-codon) for a particular amino acid; and 'wobble' base-pairing, i.e. permitting non-standard base-pairing at the 3rd anti-codon position.
Source: Rfam by way of RNAcentral
GAGGGUAGAGCUCAGUGGCAGAGCAUGUGCUUAGCAUGCAUGCAGUCCUGGGUUCAAUCCCCAGAGCCUCCA